GUUUUACACUAGUCAUUGCUGUUUGGUGUGAGUAAAGACUCAGUGUUGAAGACCCUACUUUGAUCUAUAAUGGUUUGCUUUUACAAAUUGUGACUUUGAUGGAGAGUUGUAUCAUUGGUACUCAUACUACAUCUUCUUAUAUAUAUUUAUUAUUUAGGUAUGAACAGACUGAUCCAAACUUUGGAUACUUAAAUGUGGUAUCAUUAAGAAUCACUAAUAAAUGUUUAAAACAACUGAAUGUAUGAACAAUAUAUGAUUUAGCUACAUCUAUCAUGUCUA
This 279-nucleotide long non-coding RNA is filed under the name Mytilus galloprovincialis (Mediterranean mussel). Lineage: Eukaryota; Metazoa; Mollusca; Bivalvia; Mytilida; Mytilidae. The record is from RNAcentral.